AAUAUACUCCCUCCGAUCCUAAAUUGUUUUCGAAAUAUUACAUGUAUCUAGACGUCUUUUAAGAAUAGAUACAUUCAUAUCUGGACAAAUUUGAGACAAGAAUUUAGGAUCGGAGGGAGUAGCAA
Brachypodium distachyon (stiff brome) is the source of this 125-nucleotide non-coding RNA. The record is from Rfam. NCBI's taxonomy places the organism in Eukaryota, Viridiplantae, Streptophyta, Magnoliopsida, Poales, Poaceae.